Molecule: unclassified non-coding RNA, 383 nt
Filed under: uncultured bacterium
Lineage: Bacteria
Description: contains 16S-23S intergenic spacer region
Source: RNAcentral
UCCUGGUUUCCCAGGCAGUCCCAUCAGAGUGCUCCCUUACGGGAUUGCAACUGACAGCAAGGGUUGCGCUCGUUAUAGGACUUAACCCAACAUCUCACGACACGAGCUGACGACAGCCAUGCAGCACCUGUGUAUGUGUUCAGAGCAAGCUCUGAAAAACUGCGUUUCUGCAGCGGUCACAUACAUGUCAAACCUAGGUAAGGUUCCUCGCGUAGUGUCGAAUUAAACCACAUGUUCCACCGCUUGUGCGGACCCCCGUCAAUUCCUUUAAGUUUUAAUCUUGCGACCGUACUUCCCAGGCGGAUCACUUAACGCGUUAGCUACGAUACUAUCUUUGCAAGCAAAAAUAACAUCUAGUGAUCAUCGUUUACGGCGUGGACUAC